RNAcentral lists this ribosomal RNA (354 nucleotides) under Terebra sp. MNHN IM 2013-58676. RNAcentral describes it as "partial 12S ribosomal RNA". The record is from RNAcentral. RNAcentral also lists the same sequence under 2 other names. Lineage: Eukaryota; Metazoa; Mollusca; Gastropoda; Neogastropoda; Terebridae.
UUUACCGGAGUACUAUGAAUAUUAAAAAUUUAAAACUCAAAGAACUUGGCGGUGUUUUAGACCACUCAGGGGAACCUGUCUCAUAAUCGAUAAUCCACGUUGUACCUGACCUUUUUUUGUAUUCAGUUUGUAUACCGUUGUCGUCAGGUAACUUUUUAGAAAUUAGAAGUUAGCAGCAGAAAUAAAAAUAAUUUAAUACGUCAAAUCAAGGUGCAGCUAAUGAAAAGGGGAGGAUGGGUUACAAUUAUAUAAUUUAUAAUAACGGAUAAGUAUAUGGAGUAUAUAUUAACUAUAAGGCGGACUUGAAAGUAAAUUAGGUUAUAUAAAUAAUUUGAAUGAGGCUCUGAAACGUGU